RNAcentral lists this ribosomal RNA (910 nucleotides) under uncultured bacterium. RNAcentral's name for it is "bacterial SSU rRNA". It matches the Rfam family "Bacterial small subunit ribosomal RNA", at positions 33 to 948 of the family's 1533-position model. The record is from RNAcentral.
ACGCUGGCGGCGUGCUUAACACAUGCAAGUCGAACGAUGAAGCCUAGCUUGCUAGGUGGAUUAGUGGCGAACGGGUGAGUAAUACGUGAGUAACCUACCUUUAACUCUGGGAUAAGCCUGGGAAACUGGGUCUAAUACCGGAUACGACCAAUCUCCGCAUGGGGUGUUGGUGGAAAGCGUUAUGUAGUGGUUAUAGAUGGGCUCACGGCCUAUCAGCUUGUUGGUGAGGUAACGGCUCACCAAGGCGACGACGGGUAGCCGGCCUGAGAGGGUGACCGGCCACACUGGGACUGAGACACGGCCCAGACUCCUACGGGAAGCAGCAGUGGGGAAUAUUGCACAAUGGGCGCAAGCCUGAUGCAGCGACGCCGCGUGAGGGAUGACGGCCUUCGGGUUGUAAACCUCUGUUAGCAGGGAAGAAGAGAGAUUGACGGUACCUGCAGAGAAAGCGCCGGCUAACUACGUGCCAGCAGCCGCGGUAAUACGUAGGGCGCGAGCGUUGUCCGGAAUUAUUGGGCGUAAAGAGCUUGUAGGCGGUUUGUCGCGUCUGCUGUGAAAGGCCGGAGCUUAACUCCGUGUAUUGCAGUGGGUACGGGCAGACUAGAGUGCAGUAGGGGAGACUGGAAUUCCUGGUGUAGCGGUGGAAUGCGCAGAUAUCAGGAGGAACACCGAUGGCGAAGGCAGGUCUCUGGGCUGUAACUGACGCUGAGAAGCGAAAGCAUGGGGAGCGAACAGGAUUAGAUACCCUGGUAGUCCAUGCCGUAAACGUUGGGCACUAGGUGUGGGGGACAUUCCACGUUUUCCGCGCCGUAGCUAACGCAUUAAGUGCCCCGCCUGGGGAGUACGGCCGCAAGGCUAAAACUCAAAGAAAUUGACGGGGGCCCGCACAAGCGGCGGAGCAUGCGGAUUA